This is a long non-coding RNA of Lagopus leucura (white-tailed ptarmigan), 1183 nucleotides long. RefSeq lists it as uncharacterized. The transcript has 3 exons. The record is from RefSeq and is a predicted model, not a curated record. NCBI's taxonomy places the organism in Eukaryota, Metazoa, Chordata, Aves, Galliformes, Phasianidae.
CCUGCUGUCAGCACAUCACUGCCUGGAGCGCUCUCCAAAUUCCCUCUGAGAAGGAGGAUAGCAUGGCACAUACAGCAAUGGAUUUUUGCAAGACUGAACUGUACACACGCUCAACCUGGGGGAAUUUCUGAAAGUUGCUUUUCUUUUUUUUUUUUUCUUUAACUAUCUAUUGAGGAGAUGAGGUCCAGACUCCAGCCAGAAUCAAGGGUAGAGCUGGAAACAGGAGAAACAAAGUUCUUGUGAAAUUUUCAGACAAAUUUUGGAAGCCCACACAGCCUACACUGGUUGGACAAGCUUCAAAAUAAGUACACGCUUCUCAAAGCUUUGAUGCAUCUGGACCUUGUGGGAUUUCUGCCGUUGAAGGUCAGCUUCGCUACACCCACACCACCACUCAAAAUUAUAGAGAACUGUUCAUGGGACAUCACAUCCUCUGAGGUCUCCCCUGCCUGUCCUACAGCUCAGGGUGAAUUGUGGCCAUCACAUCCCACACUCCUUCCUGCCUGGUUCACUGCCGUCACCACCAUCGCUUGCUUUCCUCCCCCAAACCUGUCAUUCUCUUGCCUCUUUGCACAUUUCUUCAUGUCAGGUCUUUGGCUUGGAAACGACUUCUCCUGUGAGCCAAACCUCCUUAUUCUACACUUUAAAAUCCUUAUGAAAUUUGGCUUGCCUUCCAAAACUAAGCCUCAGCUCCCUUGUUACUCUUCUAAAUAUAAAACAUUUUUAUUACAUUAAGCUAUGCUGAAAAAAAGUAGGAAAAAGAAUAAGAAAAAAAGGAAAAUCCCUGCACUAAAUGUGAAGAAAGUGUUCAGCAUAGCAGCAGAUCACGUCGUUUUGUUUUGUCUUGGUAUCAUCUUGUUUGCACAUGCUCUGGGCUCACUGUCUGUAUUCCUCCUUGUGUGCCUCCUGCACUGAAAAGCCCCCUAACAGUUGCAACAAGAGGAGUGGUUGCCAGGCUUAACUGGAGAGUUCUGGAAAUGGGAAAAGCUGCCCCAUUAUCGAUCGUGCUGCACUACUAGUCCUAAAGAUAAACUUGUAUCCUAGGGUAUUCACUUAGCACCUUUCAGCUACAUUAAACUUCACUUUCUUAUACAACCGAAGGCAAGUUUGAAAUUAGUUAUUUAUAUUUUUACAGGUCCAUUUUGUUCAUUAUUUCCAAUGUAAUUUUAAUCAUUUCAACAAAGAA